RNAcentral lists this long non-coding RNA (1933 nucleotides) under Anas platyrhynchos platyrhynchos (common mallard). RNAcentral's name for it is "lncRNA (ENSAPLG00000028326.1)". The record is from RNAcentral. Lineage: Eukaryota; Metazoa; Chordata; Aves; Anseriformes; Anatidae.
GAAUCCUCAGAGUGUGGCAACGGGUAGCAGCUUCAGCAGGAGCUUGACCCCCCCAGUGAUGAUUAGGUUGAUCGACUCACAGCAGCCACCUGGCACCCCCGGCCAGCCAGGGGAGGGCAGGAGCCAGGGCCGCUCCCUCAGACAGGUAUAAAAGGGUGUCACGGGCAAGGAGAGAGCUUUUGGGACCAAGGUGCGAUCUCUGGGAACCUGUGACUUGUUAAAGCUGCCAGACCGAGGAAAGGGGGUGCUUCAGGUGGCAGCGGCCCAUCAGUGCUGUCCUCAGGAGCUCUCGGCUGCCCUGGACUUUCUCCAGGAGCGUGGGAACAAGUUCAGCCAGACAUGACUGAGAAGCAGUCCAGAAAUACCCUAUGGACAGAAAGGAUAAGGGCAAGGUUGCUGUUUGGGGGCUUUGGACUCGUUCCCAUCUGCUGUCAAGGCAUCUCCAGCAGGACUAGCAUGUAAAGUGAAGGAGCUCUCAGAGUGAUUGCAAAGUGGCACCAUUUCGGCAGAGGGAGAGCUGGGAUGGACACUGGGAGGGAAGGAUGGGAGCCAGGACCCACGCAGCCCACAUCCCGCGGAGCUGCCCCGUGCUGUGAUGUCUCACCACACCAGCCUCCAUCCUCGUUUCACCUCUCCUGUAGGAAUGCUCUGAAAGCUGAAGGGAAGGGCUGGGCCCGUACCUAUCAAAGAGCCUGCCCCAGCGCUGUCACCAGGCCAUGCCUUACCUCUGUCUCCGUCUGCCGUAAUCUCACCAUCAGGACCUCAGCUGCCUCCCUGCUGAUGGCACCGCCUUACAUGACACAGAUAGAGCGAGACUCGUGUGAUGCCAGGAAGGUGAUGGGGCAGGAGCCAGAAGAGAGCUGGAGUUUAGUUCUUAUCCUUUUCUUUCUUUCUCCUACAAGAACAACCAGAGAUGUAAGCUUCAGUAGUUGAAAGGAUGACUUGGCACAGGAAAUAACCAAAUACAAUGUCUCAUGUUAAUCAAAAACCUGUGAUAAAAGAACAGUACAGUCUGUUACUCAUAAUUAGUCCUAUCUUGAACUAUGGAGGCUAACAAUAUCCAAAACAGCAAUUUUAACUCCAGAACAGUGAGCCAUCACAAUAUGCAGCACAGUAGGAGAGAGAACUGCUCACUGCCUGCCAGCUCCGUCCCUACUCCUGCAUUUCUUAAAUGAACAUUGCACCUUCUGUUGCCGCACAUCAGCCCCUCAUCUACCAGUCCUCUGCUCUUCCCACAGCCAGCGGGGUGCUGGUGCCCAUGCCGAGGCAGAACACAAACACCAAGCCAAAGCCAUGCAUGAAGAACGUCCUUCUCCUCGGGGAGCAGCCAGUAGUGGGAAAUGCCAAAGAAAAGCAGCUCCAGGUAUUUCCCUUCUGGGUUUGCAACACUCACCCAGAAACCUAAAUAUCAACAUUGCUGGUAACAGCUUUCUAACACAAAGAAGAAACCAGUGAGCAAGGAUCUUGCAGUGGAAGAAAUGUGAUGUACUUUGAAAUAUUCUGCACAGAACGCAAUCUUCAAAACCAUCAUUUUUGUCUCUACUUGAAAAUUACAGUCUCUGCUUUUGAAUUAUUAGAUGAAGAAACAAGAACCAGCAUUUGUGUGAUGACUGAGAGAUUUCUCUACAAUGUACAAAAUGAAAAUUCAUUACAGGCAUAAUGCAACAACAAAGAAAGCAAAUGUACAGACUUGGGUAAAUGGAAAACACAUUCAGCAAAAAGAAACAUUAUGCAUUUAGUGGAAAAUGACACGGUAAGGUGUCUCUGCACACUUCAAAUGAGAACUGCGUUAAUUCCUUUCAGAGCUGCUUUGUUCCUGUAGUUUGGUAGCAGAGGUACUUCACCUGCUAACAGUGGCACUCGUUCUGAAACCCUGCAUGGUUCUUACGGAAAAUACAAGCACACGGCAGUGCAGCAGUGGCGGCAGAUGGCA